This 256-nucleotide ribosomal RNA is filed under the name Pseudoalteromonas shioyasakiensis. RNAcentral's name for it is "partial 23S ribosomal RNA". It matches the Rfam family "Bacterial large subunit ribosomal RNA", at positions 562 to 823 of the family's 2925-position model. Lineage: Bacteria; Pseudomonadati; Pseudomonadota; Gammaproteobacteria; Alteromonadales; Pseudoalteromonadaceae. The record is from RNAcentral.
ACGUACAAGCAGUAGGAGCCCUUCGAGGGUGACUGCGUACCUUUUGUAUAAUGGGUCAGCGACUUAUAUUUUGUAGCGAGGUUAACCGAUUAGGGUAGCCGUAGGGAAACCGAGUCUUAACUGGGCGCAUAGUUGCAAGGUAUAGACCCGAAACCCGGUGAUCUAGCCAUGGGCAGGUUGAAGGUUGAGUAACAUCAACUGGAGGACCGAACCCACUAACGUUGAAAAGUUAGGGGAUGACCUGUGGCUAGGAGUG